UUUGUUUUCUUCUUACAGGUUUCAAAACUCAAGUUGUUAGAGAAGAUAAAAACUGAAUUUUUAUGUGUUGAGAGUAAUUCUGAAAAAUAUUUGUGCAUACAAAUCUUUACUGGGCCCAGUUCUCAUGAUGCUCCCAUGUGAAACUGUCCAACUAUGUUAAUUUGAGAAUUAUCAAAUCCUGAGGCACCCAAAAAGGGUGGACUGAGAAAAGUUCAUGGGAAAAAAAAAGGAUGAAUCCAGAUGAAUAAUAUAGCCUUUCUUUAGUCAGAAACAAGCCUGCUAACUAUUCAUGAGAGACUGAAUAACAUUUCUCAAUAUCAAAUUUAUUUCAAUUUAUUCUGGAACAUAUAAAUAUAUCUAGAAAAAUCUAAAUGAUAUGUUUCUUUUCAUAAGAAUCAAUAGACAUUAGUCAAAUAUAUGGGAACAUCAAGUCUGGUUCUUUAUUUGUAUGGGGCCUUUUGUUUGCUUGCUUGUUUGUUUGUAUUUGCCUGUAACUUGCCACAUGGUCAACAAAAGUGUUUUGCAGUUUACUCUUCAGCAUAAAUAUUCUUUCAUAAGCCAAGUUACUUAAAUUGGAUCUCAGUUUCAAAACUCAGUAUCAAAUUUUUCAACCUUCCCAGUUUUUGUGUUAGUUUGGGGGUUUUUGUUUAUUAGCUUGUUUAGUUUUGGUUUGUUUUUUGUUCUUUGUUUGUUUGUGGGAUUUUUGGUUGUCUUUUCUUUCUUUUUAUUUUUUUUUCUGUUUAUUUUUGUUUCUUUGCUUGUUUGUUUGUUUAUUUAUUUUCAGUGUAAUUGGAAAAUUCUGCAAAGCUAAGGAAGUGUGCCAACCAUAAAUUAAAAUAACAUUUGAGGAGGC
Molecule: long non-coding RNA, 853 nt
Filed under: Marmota monax (woodchuck)
Lineage: Eukaryota; Metazoa; Chordata; Mammalia; Rodentia; Sciuridae
Source: RNAcentral